RNAcentral lists this ribosomal RNA (2902 nucleotides) under Escherichia coli UMEA 3682-1. Its description in RNAcentral is "bacterial LSU rRNA". It matches the Rfam family "Bacterial large subunit ribosomal RNA". The record is from RNAcentral. Lineage: Bacteria; Pseudomonadati; Pseudomonadota; Gammaproteobacteria; Enterobacterales; Enterobacteriaceae.
UUAAGCGACUAAGCGUACACGGUGGAUGCCCUGGCAGUCAGAGGCGAUGAAGGACGUGCUAAUCUGCGAUAAGCGUCGGUAAGGUGAUAUGAACCGUUAUAACCGGCGAUUUCCGAAUGGGGAAACCCAGUGUGAUUCGUCACACUAUCAUUAACUGAAUCCAUAGGUUAAUGAGGCGAACCGGGGGAACUGAAACAUCUAAGUACCCCGAGGAAAAGAAAUCAACCGAGAUUCCCCCAGUAGCGGCGAGCGAACGGGGAGCAGCCCAGAGCCUGAAUUAGUGUGUGUGUUAGUGGAAGCGUCUGGAAAGGCGCGCGAUACAGGGUGACAGCCCCGUACACAAAAAUGCACAUGCUGUGAGCUCGAUGAGUAGGGCGGGACACGUGGUAUCCUGUCUGAAUAUGGGGGGACCAUCCUCCAAGGCUAAAUACUCCUGACUGACCGAUAGUGAACCAGUACCGUGAGGGAAAGGCGAAAAGAACCCCGGCGAGGGGAGUGAAAAAGAACCUGAAACCGUGUACGUACAAGCAGUGGGAGCACGCUUAGGCGUGUGACUGCGUACCUUUUGUAUAAUGGGUCAGCGACUUAUAUUCUGUAGCAAGGUUAACCGAAUAGGGGAGCCGAAGGGAAACCGAGUCUUAACUGGGCGUUAAGUUGCAGGGUAUAGACCCGAAACCCGGUGAUCUAGCCAUGGGCAGGUUGAAGGUUGGGUAACACUAACUGGAGGACCGAACCGACUAAUGUUGAAAAAUUAGCGGAUGACUUGUGGCUGGGGGUGAAAGGCCAAUCAAACCGGGAGAUAGCUGGUUCUCCCCGAAAGCUAUUUAGGUAGCGCCUCGUGAAUUCAUCUCCGGGGGUAGAGCACUGUUUCGGCAAGGGGGUCAUCCCGACUUACCAACCCGAUGCAAACUGCGAAUACCGGAGAAUGUUAUCACGGGAGACACACGGCGGGUGCUAACGUCCGUCGUGAAGAGGGAAACAACCCAGACCGCCAGCUAAGGUCCCAAAGUCAUGGUUAAGUGGGAAACGAUGUGGGAAGGCCCAGACAGCCAGGAUGUUGGCUUAGAAGCAGCCAUCAUUUAAAGAAAGCGUAAUAGCUCACUGGUCGAGUCGGCCUGCGCGGAAGAUGUAACGGGGCUAAACCAUGCACCGAAGCUGCGGCAGCGACGCUUAUGCGUUGUUGGGUAGGGGAGCGUUCUGUAAGCCUGUGAAGGUGUGCUGUGAGGCAUGCUGGAGGUAUCAGAAGUGCGAAUGCUGACAUAAGUAACGAUAAAGCGGGUGAAAAGCCCGCUCGCCGGAAGACCAAGGGUUCCUGUCCAACGUUAAUCGGGGCAGGGUGAGUCGACCCCUAAGGCGAGGCCGAAAGGCGUAGUCGAUGGGAAACAGGUUAAUAUUCCUGUACUUGGUGUUACUGCGAAGGGGGGACGGAGAAGGCUAUGUUGGCCGGGCGACGGUUGUCCCGGUUUAAGCGUGUAGGCUGGUUUUCCAGGCAAAUCCGGAAAAUCAAGGCUGAGGCGUGAUGACGAGGCACUACGGUGCUGAAGCAACAAAUGCCCUGCUUCCAGGAAAAGCCUCUAAGCAUCAGGUAACAUCAAAUCGUACCCCAAACCGACACAGGUGGUCAGGUAGAGAAUACCAAGGCGCUUGAGAGAACUCGGGUGAAGGAACUAGGCAAAAUGGUGCCGUAACUUCGGGAGAAGGCACGCUGAUAUGUAGGUGAAGUCCCUCGCUCGUGGAGCUGAAAUCAGUCGAAGAUACCAGCUGGCUGCAACUGUUUAUUAAAAACACAGCACUGUGCAAACACGAAAGUGGACGUAUACGGUGUGACGCCUGCCCGGUGCCGGAAGGUUAAUUGAUGGGGUUAGCGCAAGCGAAGCUCUUGAUCGAAGCCCCGGUAAACGGCGGCCGUAACUAUAACGGUCCUAAGGUAGCGAAAUUCCUUGUCGGGUAAGUUCCGACCUGCACGAAUGGCGUAAUGAUGGCCAGGCUGUCUCCACCCGAGACUCAGUGAAAUUGAACUCGCUGUGAAGAUGCAGUGUACCCGCGGCAAGACGGAAAGACCCCGUGAACCUUUACUAUAGCUUGACACUGAACAUUGAGCCUUGAUGUGUAGGAUAGGUGGGAGGCUUUGAAGUGUGGACGCCAGUCUGCAUGGAGCCGACCUUGAAAUACCACCCUUUAAUGUUUGAUGUUCUAACGUUGACCCGUAAUCCGGGUUGCGGACAGUGUCUGGUGGGUAGUUUGACUGGGGCGGUCUCCUCCUAAAGAGUAACGGAGGAGCACGAAGGUUGGCUAAUCCUGGUCGGACAUCAGGAGGUUAGUGCAAUGGCAUAAGCCAGCUUGACUGCGAGCGUGACGGCGCGAGCAGGUGCGAAAGCAGGUCAUAGUGAUCCGGUGGUUCUGAAUGGAAGGGCCAUCGCUCAACGGAUAAAAGGUACUCCGGGGAUAACAGGCUGAUACCGCCCAAGAGUUCAUAUCGACGGCGGUGUUUGGCACCUCGAUGUCGGCUCAUCACAUCCUGGGGCUGAAGUAGGUCCCAAGGGUAUGGCUGUUCGCCAUUUAAAGUGGUACGCGAGCUGGGUUUAGAACGUCGUGAGACAGUUCGGUCCCUAUCUGCCGUGGGCGCUGGAGAACUGAGGGGGGCUGCUCCUAGUACGAGAGGACCGGAGUGGACGCAUCACUGGUGUUCGGGUUGUCAUGCCAAUGGCACUGCCCGGUAGCUAAAUGCGGAAGAGAUAAGUGCUGAAAGCAUCUAAGCACGAAACUUGCCCCGAGAUGAGUUCUCCCUGACUCCUUGAGAGUCCUGAAGGAACGUUGAAGACGACGACGUUGAUAGGCCGGGUGUGUAAGCGCAGCGAUGCGUUGAGCUAACCGGUACUAAUGAACCGUGAGGCUUAACCUU